RNAcentral lists this long non-coding RNA (404 nucleotides) under Bos grunniens (domestic yak). Its description in RNAcentral is "lncRNA (ENSBGRG00000003837.1)". Lineage: Eukaryota; Metazoa; Chordata; Mammalia; Artiodactyla; Bovidae. The record is from RNAcentral.
CUCUGGUUCUCCCACUAAGGAUGUUUCCGGAUCACCGUUUUUUCCAGUUGCAAUUACUCACACUUGUUUCCUUGGUGGCCUGAUGGAGGUGCUGGGCGCACACCAUUGCGAGACCUGGACGGAGCUGAGCAUUGUCUGCAAGGUCGCGGAUGCCUAACUCUCUUUCCAGAUGUGUCCUCAGGAGACGAGGGCCCAGAAGACCCCUGCAGUGUGAGCACGGAUCUGUCUGCAAGACCACACACAGCAUCAGCGGUUGUCCUCUACACAUCUCUAGCCCUGCCCAGCCAGGUCCUCCAAGGUUAACACAGACCUUUCCAUGCUUUUCAGAGGCGUUUGCAAGCUCUUCUGUCGUCUGGCUCUGGCUUGAAAACACUGUGCAGUGCUCUGGUCCAUUCAAAAUGUGA